RNAcentral lists this ribosomal RNA (327 nucleotides) under uncultured eukaryote. RNAcentral describes it as "partial 18S ribosomal RNA". It matches the Rfam family "Eukaryotic small subunit ribosomal RNA", at positions 1470 to 1796 of the family's 1831-position model. The record is from RNAcentral.
CCCUUAGAUGUUCUGGGCCGCACGCGCGCUACACUGACGAAUGCAACGAGCUUAUAACCUUGGCCGAAAGGUCUGGGUAAUCUCCAAAUUUCGUCGUGAUGGGGAUAGAUUAUUGCAAUUAUUAAUCUUCAACGAGGAAUGCCUAGUAAGCGCAAGUCAUCAGCUUGCGUUGAUUACGUCCCUGCCCUUUGUACACACCGCCCGUCGCUCCUACCGAUUGAAUGGUCUGGUGAAGCGUUCGGACCGUGGCCUUUGGACGGUUCGCCGUCUGUUGGCUGCGGGAAGUUCGUUAAACCUUAUCAUUUAGAGGAAGGAGAANUCGUANCA